This 608-nucleotide ribosomal RNA is filed under the name Yersinia intermedia. RNAcentral's name for it is "bacterial SSU rRNA". It matches the Rfam family "Bacterial small subunit ribosomal RNA", at positions 50 to 647 of the family's 1533-position model. The record is from RNAcentral. Lineage: Bacteria; Pseudomonadati; Pseudomonadota; Gammaproteobacteria; Enterobacterales; Yersiniaceae.
CCUACAAUGCAGUCGAGCGGCAGCGGGAAGUAGCUUGCUACUUUGCCGGCGAGCGGCGGACGGGUGAGUAAUGUCUGGGAAACUGCCCGAUGGAGGGGGAUAACUACUGGAAACGGUGGCUAAUACCGCAUAACGUCUUCGGACCAAAGUGGGGGACCUUCGGGCCUCACACCAUCGGAUGUGCCCAGAUGGGAUUAGCUAGUAGGUGGGGUAACGGCUCACCUAGGCGACGAUCCCUAGCUGGUCUGAGAGGAUGACCAGCCACACUGGAACUGAGACACGGUCCAGACUCCUACGGGAGGCAGCAGUGGGGAAUAUUGCACAAUGGGCGCAAGCCUGAUGCAGCCAUGCCGCGUGUGUGAAGAAGGCCUUCGGGUUGUAAAGCACUUUCAGCGAGGAGGAAGGCAGUCGUGUUAAUAGCACGGUUGAUUGACGUUACUCGCAGAAGAAGCACCGGCUAACUCCGUGCCAGCAGCCGCGGUAAUACGGAGGGUGCAAGCGUUAAUCGGAAUUACUGGGCGUAAAGCGCACGCAGGCGGUUUGUUAAGUCAGAUGUGAAAUCCCCGCGCUUAACGUGGGAACUGCAUUUGAAACUGGCAAGCUAGAGU